Molecule: ribosomal RNA, 253 nt
Filed under: uncultured bacterium
Lineage: Bacteria
Description: partial 16S ribosomal RNA
Rfam family: Bacterial small subunit ribosomal RNA
Source: RNAcentral
UACAGAGGUCCCAAGCGUUGUUCGGAUUCAUUGGGCGUAAAGGGUGCGUAGGCGGCGCGGUAAGUCGGGUGUGAAAUCUCGGAGCUUAACUCCGAAACUGCAUUCGAUACUGCCGUGCUUGAGGACUGGAGAGGAGACUGGAAUUUACGGUGUAGCGGUGAAAUGUGUAGAUAUCGUAAGGAAGACCAGUGGCGAAGGCGGGUCUCUGGACAGUUCCUGACGCUGAGGCACGAAGGCCAGGGGAGCAAACGGG